GAAGCAUGGCUUCGCAGUGCGCACACGGGGAGCUUGUUCCCAGAAAUGCUGCGAGGAAAGUCCCCGUGCCUUGGUGCGGAGAGUGCGAGUGG
This 92-nucleotide non-coding RNA is filed under the name Scrippsiella hangoei. The record is from RNAcentral. Lineage: Eukaryota; Dinophyceae; Peridiniales; Peridiniaceae.